RNAcentral lists this long non-coding RNA (1878 nucleotides) under Homo sapiens (human). RNAcentral's name for it is "HSALNT0161104". The record is from RNAcentral. Lineage: Eukaryota; Metazoa; Chordata; Mammalia; Primates; Hominidae.
UGAGCACUGAGGGAGAAGUGCCAACAAGAACUCUAAUUGCUGUCACACAGAGGGAUGUGACAGAGAGUGACUGCAGGGGUGACUUAAUUUGAAACUUGAGUGCCAAAGGGGAAUGAGUCUUGUAGAGAUCUACGAGGGGGGAGGUAAGAGGAAGUUCCAAAGCCCUGAAGUGGCAAUGCGCUUGGCUGGUAUAAAGAAGAGGAAGAAGGCAGCAUGGCUGGGAGGUAGUGGGAGAGAGGAUGCCAAGGAGGGCAGGAAAGGGAGAUGGGGAGAUGGGGUUUGGAUCAUGAGAGCCCUGUGAGCCAACACAAAGAGUUCAAAAUUAUCCUAAGUUAAAUGGGACAUAGAAAUACAUGUGCAAGAUUAAAUACAGUAUUUGUUGUUAUGUAGAGUCAAUUAUAAAAAAUCAAGAGAGUACAGAAGAAGACGUGCAGGAAGGUACCAUAACAGUUCAGGUGGGAGAUACUGGUGGCUUAAACUAGGAAAACAGAGAGAAAGGAAUAAACUCAGGGUGUAUUUUACACGUGGCAAAGGUGAGACCUGUUGCUGGAUUACAUGUGGCAGUUAAGGGAAGGAGGGAGUUAGAUUCUGCCUUGAGUGACUUGAUGGCUGUGCUCACUAAGAUGGACGGUACUAGAGGGGGAACAGUUUAGGUGGUGAGUGUCAAGAGUUCUGUGUUUGGCGUGCUAAGUUUGAAGUGCCUACUAGUCUUUCAAGUGGAGAGUUACACUGGCAAUUAGAUAGAUGAAUCCACACUGGCAAUUAGAUAUAUGAAUCCCGAGCUCAAGCCCAAGGCUGGGGGUGUACUUUUGGAACCUUACUUAAAAAGCCAUGGAAAAGAAUAAGAUCACCUAGUGAAAUAAGGAGUAGAAAGGGGUAUAGCACUGAGCUUUGGGAUACCCCAGCUAAUAGAGGUUGGACAGGCAGCAAACGAUGUGAGAAGAAGGUCAGGAAGAAAAAACAUCAGGAGAUUGUGUUGUCACAGAAGCCAAGAGAAGAAAAUGGUUCUAAAAGACAGAGGUCAAAUGCGGGACAAAUGAAAGGCUUGGAUGAGGCCAGAGAAGUGACCACUGCCAAUGACCACCUGCAGGUCUCUGGGGACCUUAACAAGACUAACAUCAGUGAAAAGAUGGCAGUGAUCACCUGAUGGAACUGGAUGAGCUAUGUUGCCCAGGCUGGUCGCAAACUCCAGGCCUCCGGGAAUCCUCCUGCCUCAGCCUUCUGAAGUGCUGAAAUUACAGCUGCUUCGGCGACAGCACGGAAUAGACGGAUCAUUGGUGGAAACAGGGAUGGAGAUACGCCAGGAGUGUGCAAUGAAGAAUAAGAGGGGAGAGUUCACACAUUUCCAUAGGAAGAGAGCCACACCGCACAAACAACAGGUGUAAUUCUAAGGUGCUGUUUCUCCGAAUGCCACACAUGUUUACCACUGCUCAUCUCAAGGAAUCAAAACCCAGUUUCAACUUUUAUACAAAACCCAUGAAAGACUUAACCUUCUAUAAAAAUAUGUGAACAAAAGUAGACUCCCUUCUGGGAGGAUUGGGAGGGAUGGAGGAAAUUAUCCCAGAGAGUGCCGGCUCGGGAGUCGCUCUGAGGUCAGCCCCAAUCCUUUGGUUUACAUUUGUAGGGAGGAUCCACCCAACAGCUGUGCUUUAGUCAUCUUUAGAGAUACUCUCUCCCACCCCCUACCCUAAAAAACACAGAGUUGAAUGUGCUGAGAAGUAUACAUUAUGCUGCAUUGUGUGACUGUGUAAUUACUGUCCUAUACAUGCUGGACCAGAGAUUGACUGAAGACUGGAGAAUUAAACAAAGUUGUGACUAAUUCUGGAUCAAAUCCAAUAGGCAGAUGAAUAGGGCAAUCCUGAUAUUUUGCCAAAGCCA